CCUACGGGGGGCAGCAGUCGAGAAUCAUUCACAAUGGGGGAAACCCUGAUGGUGCGACGCCGCGUGGAGGAAUGAAGGUCUUCGGAUUGUAAACCCCUGUCAUGUGGGAGCAAAUUAAAAAGAUAGUACCACAAGAGGAAGAGACGGCUAACUCUGUGCCAGCAGCCGCGGUAAUACAGAGGUCUCAAGCGUUGUUCGGAAUCACUGGGCGUAAAGCGUGUGUAGGCUGUUUCGUAAGUCGUGUGUGAAAGGCGCGGGCUCAACCCGCGGACGGCACAUGAUACUGCGAGACUAGAGUAAGGGAGGGGGAACCGGAAUUCUCGGUGUAGCAGUGAAAUGCGUAGAUAUCGAGAGGAACACUCGUGGUGAAGGCGGGUUCCUGGACAUUAACUGACGCUGAGGCACGAAGGCCAGGGGAGCGAAAGGGAUUAGAUACCCGUGUAGUC
This 446-nucleotide ribosomal RNA is filed under the name uncultured bacterium. RNAcentral's name for it is "partial 16S ribosomal RNA". It matches the Rfam family "Bacterial small subunit ribosomal RNA", at positions 338 to 795 of the family's 1533-position model. The record is from RNAcentral.